AUUAGGUAGUUGGUGGGGUAAAGGCUUACCAAGCCUGCGAUCUGUAGCUGGUCUGAGAGGACGACCAGCCACACUGGGACUGAGACACGGCCCAGACUCCUACGGGAGGCAGCAGUGGGGAAUUUUGGACAAUGGGCGAAAGCCUGAUCCAGCAAUGCCGCGUGCAGGAUGAAGGCCCUCGGGUUGUAAACUGCUUUUGUACGGAACGAAAAGCUUCUCUCUAAUACAGGGAAGUGAUGACGGUACCGUAAGAAUAAGCACCGGCUAACUACGUGCCAGCAGCCGCGGUAAUACGUAGGGUGCAAGCGUUAAUCGGAAUUACUGGGCGUAAAGCGUGCGCAGGCGGUUUUGUAAGACAGAGGUGAAAUCCCCGGGCUCAACCUGGGAACUGCCUUUGUGACUGCAAGGCUAGAGUGCGGCAGAGGGGGAUGGAAUUCCGCGUGUAGCAGUGAAAUGCGUAGAUAUGCGGAGGAACACCGAUGGCGAAGGCAAUCCCCUGGGCCUGCACUGACGCUCAUGCACGAAAGCGUGGGGAGCAAACGGGAUUAGAUACCCUGGUAGUCCACGCCCU
This 571-nucleotide ribosomal RNA is filed under the name uncultured bacterium. RNAcentral describes it as "bacterial SSU rRNA". It matches the Rfam family "Bacterial small subunit ribosomal RNA", at positions 240 to 803 of the family's 1533-position model. The record is from RNAcentral.